This is a long non-coding RNA of Hemicordylus capensis (graceful crag lizard), 874 nucleotides long. RefSeq lists it as uncharacterized. NCBI's taxonomy places the organism in Eukaryota, Metazoa, Chordata, Lepidosauria, Squamata, Cordylidae. The record is from RefSeq and is a predicted model, not a curated record. The transcript is spliced from 5 exons.
GCUGGCUGCUGCUGGUGAGAGAGUUUGGAUGCAGACUUCUUGUGCCUGCCUGCCUUGUGCCGGUGGUGGUGAGAUCUCUCCAGUCUCCGCUGCCUUUUUUUUUGCUUUGCAUCCUGCCCCACUACUCACCCUUCUCCAAAUGAUGGGAACAAAAUCCAGCAAGUUUUAGUGGAAGCAAGUAGAACAAAAAUGAAAGGAAAAUGGAAGAAAUUGUUAUGGAAUGGAAAUUGAGAGAUCCCUCCAUCGUUACAGCUGCAGACUUAGUCUUCAAAAUACUUCUACCAAGAGGGUCUUAUGUUUCAAAUGUGAAGCAGUAAUAGCUUCUUGAAAGUGGGAGGGAAGAAAACCAAAGGAAUCUAUUCCGAGGAAAGUGCCCAACUUUGUUGUAGCAAAGACAAAACGUAGAUUUAUUGGAUGGUACUUCAUGCCACAUGAUAUGCAGAAUCCUGAGGAAAGAGUUGCGGCCUGCAAGGACAAGACAGUGGAGUUGAAUCAGCGAGAUCUUCCUUCACAGCCAGCACAGUGGUGAAUACAGCAAGUGCAAAAGCAGAACACCGUUCAUAUACAGCACCAGCAUAUCCGUGAUUCAAAGUGGAAAUUAAGAUAGCUGCCUCUUUCUUAGGAGCAUAAAUUAAAUGUCUAGUCCCAGUGGGAGGGUGUGAUUAUGUACCUACAAAAUAUAAGCCCAGUCAUCGUCAGUAGGGAGGAGGGAUGUGUGUGUGUGUGUGUAUUUUUAACACUUCCUCCCUUUUUGGAUUUGUGUUUUGAUAGACUGCCAGGAUUUCAUAUGCCAUUCUUUCUAGUUAAAGAAAGCAACCCUGUACUGACUUCUGACAUGCCCUCUCCUAUUCCAUCUAUCAGUGGAGCACACUGA